AUACGGGGGGUGCAAGCGUUAUUCGGAUUUAUUGGGCGUAAUGAGCGCGUAGGCGGCUUGGUAAGUCAGAUGUGAAAGCCCGGGGCUCAACCCCGGAAGUGCAUUUGAAACUAUCAGGCUUGAGUAUGGGAGAGGGAAGUGGAAUUCCUGGUGUAGAGGUGAAAUUCGUAGAUAUCAGGAGGAACACCGGUGGCGAAGGCGACUUCCUGGACCAAUACUGACGCUGAGGCGCGAAGGCGUGGGGAGCAAACAGGAUUAGAUACCCCGGUAGUCC
This 274-nucleotide ribosomal RNA is filed under the name uncultured bacterium. RNAcentral describes it as "partial 16S ribosomal RNA". It matches the Rfam family "Bacterial small subunit ribosomal RNA", at positions 523 to 796 of the family's 1533-position model. The record is from RNAcentral.